CCUGCCGAACUGCUGGCGCCCUACACCGGCGAUAUCGCCGCCGAGGGCGUCAGUAAAGCGCUGCGGGGCGGCGCAAUGUUCCUCAAACGCGGUCUUCAGCGCCAGCAGCGCUAUGUUGCGGAAGCAAUCACCGAAGAGUGGCGCAUGGCGCCGGGGCCGUUGGAAGUCGCGUGGUUUGCCGAAGAGACGGCAGCGGUUGAACGCGCCGUAGAGGCCUUCAGCAAACGACUGGAAAAACUGGAGGGGAAAUGA
Molecule: small RNA, 252 nt
Filed under: [Enterobacter] lignolyticus SCF1
Lineage: Bacteria; Pseudomonadati; Pseudomonadota; Gammaproteobacteria; Enterobacterales; Enterobacteriaceae
Description: Enterobacter cloacae SCF1 Erse small RNA
Rfam family: Erse small RNA
Source: Rfam by way of RNAcentral